AAAAUUGUCUGACAUUAGACCAAUUGUUUAGAUAUGGUUUACAAAGUGAUGACUUUUCUUCUUACAUUCAUGGUGAUAGGACUUUGUAAGUCUUUUCCUCUUUAAGUUGUACAUGUUUUCCAAAAUUUUCGAUAUGUGAAUAUCGCACGUACUCCUCUUGAUUUUACUCCAAGUUCAUUUUCUAGAACUUUUGUAUGUAGUGGAUUAUUAUAUUUAUGUAUUUAUUAAUUUUAACAUUUUUUUAGAGGAUUGAGACAUGCAUAGCGGGGAAAAAGUAGUAAAUGAAGGAGUUUCUUGUGUAUAAGUUGCACCAACUGAAAAGAUAAUAUAUUAAUUUUUUCAAUUUUUUUAAAUAAAAUUGAAUAGCACUUUACUUCUUUCAAGAUAAUUUAAAUAUAUUAAAAAAAUAUUUAACAAAUAUAAAAGUAUUCACCUCAUAAAUCACUAUGUUAGAAAGUUAUCCUAAAAAUAAGAAGAAAUACUUAUAUAUUAAUAUCCUAAGUGUUAAGUUUAAAAUAAGUAAGAUUAUUUCAAUAUAUACGAAUACGAUAUCUUGUUAAGGAUAUUUUUGGUAAGAAGAAAAGUCAAAACUACUUCUACUAUUGGGGAUAAGCUAAUUUUUUUCUGUUUCUUCGCAAAAGCACUCCCCCACCCCUCGAAGAAAAAAAAAUUAAAUAAAAAAUCUUAGCCAACCACCUCAAGUGGAAAAAAAAUACUUUUUGAAAAAAUGCACUUUUGGUCGGGGAGAAGCUUAGCCAAAGGCUAUAUUUAUCCCAUGCAUUAUUUAUUAUUUAUUGGUAUCUCCUGGCAUAUCUAAUUGUUUGUUUCAAGGUUUUUUUUUUUUUUUUUGAAUCAUCAUAGAUAAAUUUUUUGUGGUACGAAAAAAAGAAGAAGAAGAAAGUUUUGCAUGUAUAUAUAUUUAACAUACAUUGCUUACUAUGUUAAAGCCUUUAUGCCAUCAAUUAUAAUUAUAAAUUUUAAAAAUUGGCAGCUGUUUCGCCAAAGAUUGAAGCAAGGAAUGUGAGCUAUUGUUGUUGCAAGACAGAUGCAGAUUGUAAGGAGACGUGUGGUGUAUCCCCUAUUUAUCAUUGUUCACUUGGUUAUUGUGCGUGCUCCAAUUACGGGCCUCCUCAAAAACAAGUUGCUGAAACUAAUGGGGGCACAGUUGAAGAACCAA
RNAcentral lists this long non-coding RNA (1177 nucleotides) under Nicotiana benthamiana. RNAcentral's name for it is "long non-coding RNA (NBEN_LNC006306)". The record is from RNAcentral. Lineage: Eukaryota; Viridiplantae; Streptophyta; Magnoliopsida; Solanales; Solanaceae.